Molecule: ribosomal RNA, 250 nt
Filed under: uncultured bacterium
Lineage: Bacteria
Description: partial 16S ribosomal RNA
Rfam family: Bacterial small subunit ribosomal RNA
Source: RNAcentral
UACGGAGGGUGCAAGCGUUAAUCGGAAUUACUGGGCGUAAAGCGCACGCAGGCGGCUUUUUAAGUCGGAUGUGAAAGCCCCGGGCUCAACCUGGGAAUUGCAUUCGAUACUGGGAAGCUAGAGUAUGUGAGAGGGGGGUAGAAUUCCAAGUGUAGCGGUGAAAUGCGUAGAGAUUUGGAGGAAUACCAGUGGCGAAGGCGGCCCCCUGGCACAAUACUGACGCUCAGGUGCGAAAGCGUGGGGAGCAAAC